GACGAACGCUGGCGGCGUGCCUAAUACAUGCAAGUAGAACGCUGAAGGAGGAGCUUGCUUCUCUGGAUGAGUUGCGAACGGGUGAGUAACGCGUAGGUAACCUGCCUGGUAGCGGGGGAUAACUAUUGGAAACGAUAGCUAAUACCGCAUAAGAGUAGAUGUUGCAUGACAUUUGCUUAAAAGGUGCAAUUGCAUCACUACCAGAUGGACCUGCGUUGAAUUAGCUAGUUGGUGGGGUAACGGCUUACCAAGGCGACGAUACAUAGCCGACCUGAGAGGGUGAUCGGCCACACUGGGACUGAGACACGGCCCAGACUCCUACGGGAGGCAGCAGUAGGGAAUCUUCGGCAAUGGACGGAAGUCUGACCGAGCAACGCCGCGUGAGUGAAGAAGGUUUUCGGAUCGUAAAGCUCUGUUGUAAGAGAAGAACGAGUGUGAGAGUGGAAAGUUCACACUGUGACGGUAUCUUACCAGAAAGGGACGGCUAACUACGUG
This 495-nucleotide ribosomal RNA is filed under the name uncultured bacterium. Its description in RNAcentral is "partial 16S ribosomal RNA". It matches the Rfam family "Bacterial small subunit ribosomal RNA", at positions 28 to 507 of the family's 1533-position model. The record is from RNAcentral.